GGAGUCUGGACCGUGUCUCAGUUCCAAUGUGGGGGACCUUCCUCUCAGAACCCCUACCCAUCGUCGGUUUGGUGGGCCGUUACCCCGCCAACUGCCUAAUGGGACGCGAGCCAAUCCGAUACCGAUAAAUCUAUUAAACAAAGAUCAUGCGGUCUCUGUUGUUACGGAGUAUUACGCGACGUUUCCAUCGACUAUCCUCCAGUAUCGGGCAUGUUGCUCACGCGUUACUCACCCUUUCGCCGGUCGCCAUCAUAAAUAGCAAGCUAUCUAUAUGCUGCCCCUCGACUUGCAUGUGUUAAGCCUGUAGCUAGCGUUCAUC
This 319-nucleotide ribosomal RNA is filed under the name uncultured Bacteroidales bacterium. RNAcentral's name for it is "partial 16S ribosomal RNA". Lineage: Bacteria; Pseudomonadati; Bacteroidota; Bacteroidia; Bacteroidales. The record is from RNAcentral.